This 1185-nucleotide long non-coding RNA is filed under the name Marmota monax (woodchuck). Lineage: Eukaryota; Metazoa; Chordata; Mammalia; Rodentia; Sciuridae. The record is from RNAcentral.
CUAGAGGGGACAUGGUCAGGAUAGGGAGGGCAGUGGUGUUGCACUGCAGGUGGUUGUUAUACCUACGGAAUAUGAGCACUGUUUUGGAGUUUUAAUAUAAAUUAUCCUGAUAUUUGACCCUAGAGAAUUUCAUUAAAAAACCAUCAGCAAACCAAACAAGUCCUAUGUUGCCUAAACAUGGCUACAGCUGGAUGGAAAUAGCCUCUGAGCCCAUAUUUUGAGAACACUAGUCCAGUGCUGUGUUUGGCCUGAGUGACAUGUCAUUUGCCUGGUUCUGAGCGAAACACCCACAGAUCCUUUUUAGAGAGCAAGAAUCUCAUUUAGGGAAGUUCAUAAUUGAGCUAGUAAAGGGUAAACAUCAGGUAUCAAGUCUUGGUGAUAUCUGAUUGUAAAAGCCAAGGUUUUCCCCUUGCAAAUGAAACCCACAGUACCACAUCUUCCUGCCUCUAAGGAAAAAAGGACAUGAAUAAUGAUGGAGAGAUAAAAGGAGAAAUGAAAGGAAAACAAUGGAUAUUUAUUAAGCUCCAAUAACUGCCAGGCAUUGGAUCAGGGAUUGUGAGCACAUAGUUUAAGUCCCAUAGCUUCAUGAGGUAAGAAAGAAACAUUCUCACUUUUUGGUUAAAAAAAAAAAACUUGAGACCAACAGAGGUUGGUUAACUGGCACUUGGUCACACAGGUUUUAAGUGGCAGAUGAACCUCAAACCCACAUUCCAGUGAUUAAGGGUUUUAGGGAGAAGGAAUAUGUCUUCUUCUGAGGCUGAGAGAAGAAUGAAAUGAUAAGGAGCCCAGGGAACCUGCAGGUGCUCACCCUGCAGGAUCUUGUGUUUCCUGCUGAAAGGGCCAGGGCAGCUUAUCCGAGGAAGAGGGUCAGAUUGGAAAGUGAAGAAAAGAGAGGUCGCUCACCAGGGAGACCUGCUAGGAGAUGGAGACAUGAAGGAGAAUUGGUGGACAGUGAUAAAGGCAGCAGACGGUAAGACCUUGGGUGGAAUAAGUGUGUGUGCACCCUUGGUUCUUACCCCAACAUCCCUUAGAGUUGGUAACCAGAGAGGAGUUAAGUGAGUAGGACUGGCCAUUGGCUUGGUAAAAGUUGAACAGCUAAAGAAAGAUGGGCAGCUCAAUCUCAUUAGUCACCAGGAAAUGCAAAUGAAACCCACAGUACCACAUUGAUACCACUCCGCAUUCAUC